RNAcentral lists this ribosomal RNA (490 nucleotides) under uncultured bacterium. Its description in RNAcentral is "partial 16S ribosomal RNA". It matches the Rfam family "Bacterial small subunit ribosomal RNA", at positions 30 to 507 of the family's 1533-position model. The record is from RNAcentral.
AUUGAACGCUGGCGGCAGGCCUAACACAUGCAAGUCGAAUGGUAACAGGAAACAGCUUGCUGUUUCGCUGACGAGUGGCGGACGGGUGAGUAAUGUCUGGGAAACUGCCUGAUGGAGGGGGAUAACUACUGGAAACGGUAGCUAAUACCGCAUAACGUCGCAAGACCAAAGAGGGGGACCUUCGGGCCUCUUGCCAUCAGAUGUGCCCAGAUGGGAUUAGCUAGUAGGUGGGGUAACGGCUCACCUAGGCGACGAUCCCUAGCUGGUCUGAGAGGAUGACCAGCCACACUGGAACUGAGACACGGUCCAGACUCCUACGGGAGGCAGCAGUGGGGAAUAUCGCACAAUGGGCGCAAGCCUGAUGCAGCCAUGCCGCGUGUAUGAAGAAGGCCUUCGGGUUGUAAAGUACUUUCAGCGGGGAGGAAGGGAGUAAAGUUAAUACCUUUGCUCAUUGACGUUACCCGCAGAAGAAGCACCGGCUAACUCCGUG